This is a long non-coding RNA of Sphaeramia orbicularis (orbiculate cardinalfish), 293 nucleotides long. RefSeq lists it as uncharacterized. The record is from RefSeq and is a predicted model, not a curated record. The transcript has 3 exons. Lineage: Eukaryota; Metazoa; Chordata; Actinopteri; Kurtiformes; Apogonidae.
UUCUGCAAAAUAUGUUCAGUAGAACAGAACCACAGAACAAUAGAUCAUGUACAGGCUGUUUUUGUUCAGUCAGUCCCUUGUUUUAUACAGUAUGUCUAUAGAUUUGGACACUUUACUUUGAAUAGACUCAAUAUGAGGUUUCCAACACAGUUUACUAUCUCUGAUGACACCUAUAAAUUUAGCUUCAUAAACUCUUUCUAUUAUCAGUAGGUCUGUUUUCAGUACAGGUUCUGUUAUUGUCAUGUUUAUAUCAGUGAAAUAUAACUUUGUCCUGAUUUGACUGAGUUUUCUUU